RNA transcript from Quercus lobata, 2737 nucleotides. It is a transcript of the gene named receptor-like protein kinase FERONIA, with no coding region annotated. The record is from RefSeq and is a predicted model, not a curated record. NCBI's taxonomy places the organism in Eukaryota, Viridiplantae, Streptophyta, Magnoliopsida, Fagales, Fagaceae. The transcript is spliced from 2 exons.
UUUUGUAAUAACUUUUUAAUUAUUUUCUUUUGAAAAUCACUCACACUCGUUCUCCCUGUCUCUGCUACAAUGGGCAACACGAAUCUUUGCACCACAGUCCUACCAUGUUUAACUUUCACAACUCUUUACCUCACCUUCUUGCUGCUCCACUUGUCCAACACAUUGGCCAUUAACUCUCCGUCUCCUUACAAACCAGUCGAUAAUAUUAUCCUUAACUGUGGCUCCUCUGACAAUUCGACUGCAUUAGAUGGUCGGACCUGGACUGGAGAUGUCAAUUCAAAAUUCUUCCCUCAAGAACUAUCACAAAACCAGGCCUCUCUAGCCACAAACUCAGUUAAGCAAUCCUCAUCUGCUUCGCGAGUACCCUAUACCACUGCCCGCUUGUCUGUCUCCCCAUUCACCUGCAUAUUCCCACUCACUACCGGCCAAAAAUUCGUUCGACUAUACUUCUACCUAGCUACGUACAGCAAUUUCGACCGCUCUAAUGCCCUCUUCUCUGUCAAAGCUGGAACUUUUACCCUUCUUUGAGACUUCAAUGCUUCACUUACAGCAGAUGCCGAUGGUGAUCCGGAUGAUACAAUAUUUAGAGAGUUCUGUAUUGACAUCGUGGAAGAUUUGAGGCUGAACAUAACCUUCAAUCCAAGCAAUUCCAAUUCAUUUGCUUUUAUCAACGGAAUUGAAAUUUUGUCCAUGCCUUCUUAUCUCUAUUACACUCCGUCUGAUGAUAAGAGGUUCCCUUUAAUCGGCGAGGAGUACAUGUUCAACAUUGAUAACGGAACUGCUCUGGAGACGGUAUACAGAGUAAAUGUUGGAGGGAACUACAUCUCACCCACUGAAGACACUGGAAUGCUCCGGAGCUGGAGUCCGGACGAAAAGUACUUGGCAGAUGUUAUGUCAUCUGUUAUACCUGUUAACUCAACUAUUGAACUUAUGUUCACCAAAAUACCUCCAUACACUGCACCGGAAGCUGUCUAUCGAACUGCCCGGACUAUGGGGAGGUACAAAGCUGUCAAUAAGCUGUACAACCUAACUUGGGAAUUUCCCGUAGAUUCUGGGUUUUAUUACCUUGUUAGGCUGCACUUCUGCGAGUUUCAACCGGAGAUUAUUGAAUGGCAUGACCGAGUAUUUGUUAUUUUCAUAGCAAAUCAAACCGCUGAGAAAGAAGCCGACAUUAUAGUAUGGAGUGGGAGUAAGGGUGUUCCGGUAUAUAAGGAUUACGCUGUGGGAUGUUUGGCGAAGAAAGCGAGAAGAAAAAGAACCUUUCUAUAGCCAUAAAAGCAAAUCCGGAUGACUCGUUGACUAGUUACAGUGAUGCAAUAUUGAACGGUAUUGAAAUCUUCAAAGUAAGCGAGUACUGUGGCAAUGUCGCUGGACCCAACCCCGACCCACUUCCGUCGACCCCUCCAACGGCUGUGCCCCAGCUACAUUUAGCAGAGUCGACGAAUAACAGAACAACAAUAAUUGCCGUCAUUGGCGGUGUUACCAUACUCUUGAUUCUCGGAUUCUUGAUUUUCCGACUAGCCAAAAGAGACAAGGAUUUCUGCAAUUCAACCCAGGCCUCCAGCUCAACUCUACCGUGUAGUUUAUUUCGUUACUUCUCACUCACUGAGAUUAUAGCAGCUACCAACAAUUUUGACAAAGUAUUUAUUAUUGGUGCUGGAGGGUUCGGUGACGUGUACAAAGAUUAUGUUAAUGAUGGGGCCACCCCAGUUGCGAUCAAACGGUUAAAACCCGGUUCUCAACAAGGAGCCCAGGAGUUCAAGACAGAAAUCGAGAUGCUGUCUCGGCUCCGCCACCUCCAUCUCGUUUCUCUGAUUGGAUAUUGUAAUGAUGAUAACGAGAUGAUUCUCGUGUAUGAUUAUAUGGCUCAUGGGACCCUUCGUGAUCAUUUCUAUAACACCAAUUAUCAGCCACUUUGUUGGAAGCAACGUCUCCAAAUCUGCAUUGGUGCAGCACGUGGGUUGAACUACCUUCAUACAGGUGCGACACAUACAAUCAUUCAUCGUGAUAUGAAGAGUACAAAUAUCUUAUUAGAUGAUCAGUGGUUGGCCAAGGUGUCUGAUUUCGGGUUGUCAAAAUUUGGUCCCAUUACGUCUAAGUCCCAUGUUAGUACAGUGGUUAAGGGUACAUUCGGAUAUUUGGACCCGAAAUAUUAUCGCUUUCAACAACUAACUGAGAAGUCUGACGUGUACUCUUUUGGUGUGGUGUUGUGUGGAAGGCCACCAAUCAUACAUACGACUGAGGAGCAUCCAAUGGGUCUAGCAGCAUGGGUCCUGCAGUGCUAUCACAAUGAAAAGCUUGAUCAAAUUGUUGAUCCAUCUUUGAAGGAUGAAAUUGAACCAGAAUGCUUAAAGAAAUUUGGCGAGAUUGUGGUGAAUUGUUUGCUUGACAAUGGAACCAAAAGACUACCAAUGAAUGAUGUGGUUGGGAGUCUUGAGUUAGCAUUGGAGUUGCAAGAGAGUGCAGAAAAAGAUGUCAAGCUUGAUUUGUCAGAAGAAAUUGACAUGAAGGACUUUGAUGAGCAAGCUCUGAUCCCUAUGUCCGAUGUCAAUGAAAGUGAUGACAUGAUUUUUAGUAGCAGUGGAAAAGUAUCGAGUACUAAUGGCAGUAGUCAAGUGACCGUAGUAAGCCGGGGAAGUUUUGCUAGUAAGGAUUCAGAUGGAUUGAUGUCCCCCAGGGCAGUGUUUUCUGAGAUUAUGGGUCCUAAAGGUCGAUAAACAAAGGGAAAAAAAAAAAA